Gasterosteus aculeatus aculeatus (three-spined stickleback) is the source of this 6743-nucleotide long non-coding RNA. The record is from Ensembl. Lineage: Eukaryota; Metazoa; Chordata; Actinopteri; Perciformes; Gasterosteidae.
GCUGCUGGUCUCUGUCAGCUUCACUGUGCACCAAGAAGCCUUGCAGAGUGGACUACCACUUAUUGACUGAGCCCUACUGUUUCUCAGUGGCUCUGUCUACACUGUUCUGGGUCCGAAGUUAGUGAAACAAUGACUCGAUCGUAGAAAUGUUUUUCUUACAAGAAAAUGAUUUGAUGGUGUGAUUGAUGGAAUUUGAAGCAUUGUGUUGAAGUGAAGUUUUUUUUCGGGUCCAAUUCUUUGGCUGAAUCAGAUUUCUUUUCAUCGGGGGUGGAGACAGACGUUCACAACAAAACCUUCUGACAAGAGGGAGUUCUGGCCAUGAUUAUACACACGGUUACAGGAAAUAUCAGGCAAACAGUUUCCAGGAGCCACUGUCAAUCAUUUUUCGCAAGAAAGAGUGUAAGCAGGGCGUAGAGAAGGCAGCAAUUGUAUUGUUUGCAAGUACAAAAGUGAACUUUUUUGGGGGGCUUUGAAGCAUGCAGGCGGUUUUUGAGUCAGUCCCACUACGCAAUAGUAUCUAUAACAACUGUUUGCAACUUGUAGCCGGCUCCUGGUGUUAGUUUCAAUAUUCCAUAAACUAAUUACAUGUGUGCAUUGGUGUAAGUGAGACUUACUUCUAUGUAAGUCUAGAUACUGUGUACAAGCCACACACACACACACUUACACAGGGCUACAUUACCAACAGGAGGCAACGAUCAGAGAGCAGGAUUUCAACUGUAGGUCAGUAACCAUAGCAACAGGACAGAAUGCACCGGAGACCUGUCACCAUAGGAACCAAUAGCAAGAGAGGGAGAGAGAGACCAAAAGACUGAAACAGACAGAUAAAGAGUGAUGUAAACACAAGACCGAGACAGAGAUACAGAAGGGAAAUGGGAAUACAGAAAAUAGGCAGGAGGGAAAAAAAAGCAUAAUUACAGUUACAAAGUUAGAACAGAAAGAGAUGAGAGACGAAACAGCUCAGACAGAGAUGGAUGACUGUAUCCGCUGUACACGUGCAAACACCGUGUUGCAAUGACGAUGAUGGGCCUGUCAUGUGGUGAGUCCCUGGGACCUGCGGGUGGUCAUUUGUGUGUGACAAUAUGGGUAUUUGAUGAAUAUUUUAUAUUUUUAGUUUCCAUUUUUUCUAUCUCAGUUGCUCUCUCUCUCCCUCUCAUAUACAUCCACAAAAUUAGAAAGAAGUAGAGCACAGAUGGACAGAGAUGUAUUAUAUGCGGUAGAGCCUCAUUGGGUCACCAGAAACUUGAGUGAAUACAGUACGGAUCAGUGGCCACGUGAGUUCGUUUACCAAUACCAAGGUCACCAAUGCCUUUGUUGUGCCACCAAAUCUCCUGCCUUGCACAUUGGUUUUGUGGAAGUAAAGGCAGACUUUAAACAUGGUUUACUCAUCUGUGCGAGAUCGACGCUAAGAAAAUGGUGCGACACUACUGAUUAGGGACACAUGGGAUGUCAAGUGCAGCUCGCACCUCAACAUAAUAAGCUAGAAAUUAUGAAUGUGCAACUUGUCCGUCAUAUAAAACCUGCACACCGAUGCCCCUUUUUGUUCUUUGGUUCUGGGCAUUUUGUAGCGUUACUUACAGAAAUUCCUGCUUAGUCUCCACAUUGACGCUUGCGGCUGGAGUAAAGUCACAGUAAAAACUGCAGGGACUCCAGCUGUUCCUGUUGGUUUGGCUAGAGAGAGAUCAACUGUGAGCUUUCAGUCCAGUGAUAAAAGAAGCCGCUGCAGGCUGCUUCUAGCUCUGCUUGUCACUUCUGUACUUCUUAUGGUACAAUAUUUCUGGCUAUUAGUCCAUCAAUAAAAUACCUUAUUUAACAUCGUUUAUGCAUGAAUGAGACUAACUUUAAUAGGUGAGAGAAAAGAAAGGACAUUCUGUACAGCUUCCAUCACGACGCUCCCUCUCACAGCUCACAGCUGCUCAUAGUCGUUUGCGGCUUGUUUAAAAAUUCACAGAGCAGUGUUGCCUCUUGCCUGAUGUUCAAAAUAUAUAGUGGGAUACUCGUGCCUACUUAUGCUUCAGCCCCCCCCCCAACCCUCUUAAACCAAAAAAAAACGCCAAAAAAACACAGCAGCCGCAUCCACUUGUGGGCACAACAUCCUAAUAUGAUUUGUAUGAGCAUUUUUGUUUGAGCUCUCAGAGGAAAUUAUAGCAAAUUCAUAUAAGUUUUAUCAAACACAGUGAACAUUGUGAGCUAAUGAUUAUUUGAUGUAAUCCAAACCUAGUCCUCUACUGCUACUGUGUGGCAAUCUGGAUGAAGGAGUGCACCACAUGCUAUGUUUAGAAUCUCAAUGUAGUCUUUUGUGCACUUUUAUUAUAUUAAUUAUGGAGACAUUAUCAACCAUAAAGGAAGGUUUAAAUGGUGUUAUUGUUGUAGUGAGAAAAUCAUACAGUUCAUCAAUAGGGGAAUAGAGUCAGAGACACACAGGAAGUGAAAGAGGGGGAAGGAAGAAGAGGGAAACAAAUGAUAGGGAGGAAACCACAAGAGGGAACACAAAUAAGAACAAGCUUUAGAAAGACUGAGAAAGGGCAAGCAGAGACAAAGAGAGACAAAGAAAAUACGUGUGUGUGUGUGUGUGUGUGUGUGUGUGUGUGUGUGUGUGUGUGUGUGUGAGAGAGUGAUGCGUGUGUCACAGUCUGGAGAUUUGAGCUGGCGUAGUUCUUAUUCCAAUCACACACACCGUCUAAUGAGCUAAUGGGCCUGACAACCCGACAGACACACACAGAGUGAGGGACAAGGAGAGGGAGGCGGAUGGAUGGAUGGAAAGUCACUACGCCAGUCGGCCAGCCAUUCAUCCAUUCAGAGGGUCGGUCAGCUGGUCACCCCAUUAGCCCCUCGUCCCACGAGGUUUGUGUCACCGAUAAGAGAUGCGUGGCAUUUUGUGAAGAACGUACUAUUUUCUUCCCUUGACCCUCUCAUCUUGUCUCGCACUCUUUUCCCGAUACGCAAGCAGGUGCUCACCAGCUGAAAAUGGUGUUUGUUAAUGUUUCUUGCGAAGAAACAUAAACUCACAUAAACAUUAUGAUCCUUAAAAAGUGGCUCAUUGUAGCAGCCCCGUGGGGGGGGCAAGAUUACAAUAAUGGAGUAUUUUAUAAGAAAUCAAUUUACAGAUGUGUCAAAUGAAUGAGUAAUCGUCCUGUGACUGGCGGAGGAAGACGUCCAGCACUCAGCAGCCUCGUGAUUAGUGCCUCUCGUGGUGCCAAUUUCUGGCUCUCCUGGUAAUUAUCUAUAUGUGUUACAGAAAUCUGAAUCUCUAAAAUAAUUCAGGAAUUAAGCCUCAGUUCGGAAAUUAAAUCACAGAGUUACCAAAAAGAGAAAAGAUUAAGUUAGCUUUCUUCUGUAAAUGCACACUAUUGCAGAUUGCUUCCUCCUUAAACGAAAUGGUAUCAUUAUUGUUAUCAUGAUCCUCUAAUUAUCCUUCCAAUUACAAUCAAAGCCUCUCAAACUCUUUUUCUUUCUUUUACGUUCUCUCCUCGUCCAUCUCUCUGUAUUUUUGGCCUGUUUGUGUGUUUGUGUUUGAAUAAUGCUGUAAUUAUUCUUCACAUCGCUCUCUUUACACCAUUAAAUCAUUUUCCAGGUCUAAUCUUUUUCCAGAGGUCAUGGGUAUUACCUGAGCCUUUCAGCAGUUUGAUGUGCUUGUGCAUAUUGGUAUUGUCACUCACUCUUCAGAAUGCUAGAUGUGCUGUCGUAACCGCGGUAACAAAUUACACCACAUUACCAGCAUAGUGCAUAUAAAAAGGUAUCGAUCAUUUCCAGUGGCUGUCUGUUGUUCAAAAAUAUUUUACUACUUGCUGCAUGGUUCUUAUAUUCUAGGUUUGAUGUUCACAAGAAAAAUGCACAAAUCCUCAGCUGCCGCACUGUGCACAAUAAACAUCAUACACACAUUUAAAUCUGUUUUAAUCCAUUGCAGGAACGUACAGAGAAGACAAGUCAUAUAUUCUUUGCAAGAUGUUGAAACUACUGAGGUCUUCAGUUAGUAAUUAAGCCUCUUCAGAAAGCCAAUGGUAACAAUGACAUCCACAGAAAGCUCUUUGAAAAAAAGAAGAUUUAUGGAUUUAUUCAGACACUGACCAUUUAUCUUGUUUGGAACUUCAUUUUUAAGUUUUUCAAAGCUUCAGGCUGCUUUGUCAGACCUCUUAAAGCGGAUGAAAUCCACUCAUUUGCAUUCAGUCUGCUGUGUAGAUUCCUUUGUAAUUGUGACUUUACAGCAAGUUGUUUUGGUCUGUCUUUAUUUGGAUAAUAAGUGGUUUCUUUUUUUACAAAAAGGGAUUUUUUUUUUCAUCAAAUCAAUGAUUAAAAAAAAACGAACAAUAUGGAAAGGAACCCUCUGAUAUACAUAUUUUUACUUAACAACAACUUAACAACAGCGCAGUUACACUUUUAUGAAGAUCUUUUUUAAUCACAUAACAGCUAAAGUCACUAUUCACAAGUGAUUUGUUGUCAUUCUAGUUUCUAAUGUAUAAUGUGUAUCCAUGUGGGUUCAUAUAUGAAUUUGCCUUCGUGGAUUGACAGGCAGAACUGAAAUUUACUGGGCAUCUGGACCAGGGUUCAUUAAUGCUGAUUGUUCAAGAGAGAGAGAGAGAGAGAGAGAGAGAGAGAGAGGGGGGAGGACACAUCAGAAGAUGACGACAGCAGCAUCAAUCACCUUGUCAACGAGCACCCACCACCAGUACCGGGGGACAGAUGUUAGGCUGACUGUGUGUGACUGCAUUUAGUUGUGAGACAGUUGUGUGUUGUGGAGUUGUGUUCGUGUAAUAAAAAUUUAUUAGAUGCUUCGUGACCUAUUAAAAUCCUGAGUGAAGCGGCUGUUGUGAAAGUUUGAACAAUGAAACCUUUCUGCACCGACAUGCAAAGUUACUUCAUCAUAGCUCGACAUCAGCUAGGUGUAGCAGCUGAUUGGUUGUAUGGUGGAGGGCGCUGUCUGUUAUUUUCUUAAAGCUACUAGAGUUGUUUCAUGAUGGAGAAGCAGCAACAACAACAGAACACUUUAGUUUUUUCUAUUUUUGUGACAAGCAUCAGUGUCAGUCGUUGGCCAAAACCUACGUUUUAAGUUCAAACUAUUCAAAUAUCUCUUCCUGAACAUCGAUCACGUCUCCCAGCAUGUCGGUAAGUUCACUCGUUUCACUACAGGUACAUUCCCCCCACUCUCGUCCACUGUAUUAAUCAAUACAUCGACCAACCAACCAACGCGCUCGGUUUCUUCCUGUGGAGCCGACCUGGAAACUAUUUUGGCUCAGUAAAUGUUUGCUGUCAGUCAGCGCGGUGAAGGCAGGUCAGCGAGCUGCUGACCUAUCGGCCCCCCAGGAGCCGCUGCUGCUGACAGACGGGCGGAGACGUUCACCCAAGACGGAGUGAGUGUGACAUUUCUUUGCAAAACUCAAAAUCUCGCUUCCAAUGAGGAUUUUCAGUUGAGCGUUAACUAGUUUUUUCCAUUCAGGAAGGGAGGGAGGGGACGCCCGUAACGCUGUGCUCUCAGUGUGUGCUCGCAGACAGAGAUGCUCUAGUAAUGCUGUUGUUCCUUCACAGUCUAAUCUAAUCAGUCAAUUUAUAUACAGUAUUCAAUUCAUUUUUGGUACGGAAAGCAAAAUAAUCUUUAUUUGCAUCCAUUAUUUCUUCCAAAACCCUUUUUCUUAAUUUAACAAGCAGUUCUCAAAUAUUAUUUGUUGUCGAACCAAAAACAGCCUUUAAUGAUUUUUUCCCAAAGUAACUUGUAAAAGACUGUCAAAGUUACUUUUUAUUAAUUUGACAGUUUUUUAUCGAAGAAACAUAAAAAUAACUGCAAAAAUAACAAUGACUGCUGUCAGUAUUUUUAAGUUACGGUUUGACCCACUUUCCCACGUUUCGUCUUCUUUAAGCCCACUUCAAUUUUUGUGAAGAAAGGCUCUUUGAAUAUGCAAACAAUCACAGUCCCCUAAUCGCAGCAUGUUUUUUCAUUCAGCUUUUUGAUUAUUUUCUUUUCUUUCAUUUCUCAUCUUCACUCUUUCAGUUUAUAGGGAUUAAUUGCAAAGUCGGUUUCAGAUGUUUUGAAAAGCAAAGUGCGGUUUAUGUAACAUUUCAACAUGAAAAAAGGAAAUGUGGCUUUUGAAGAGGUAGCGCUUUAAAUGCAAACAACCAAUACAAAUUUAAAUUGCAAAUCUGCCAUGCACACAAUGUCUUCAUGAACAUUUAAAAAGCCAGCAUGGCAUUUCAUACAAUUUGACUUGGUAUUUACCAACGAGGAAUACAAUAAAAGGCCCUGUAAAUACAUGAAGCUAGAUUUCAUUCACUUGCCUGUGUCACUCCCUCUGUCUCUCUCCUCCCCCGGGAGGUAUUCAUCCUCCUCUGCCUCUCUUUCUCCCACCACCUUUAUUCCCUCUCUCUCUGGAAAUUAGACUAAAGAACAUGAUUCAGUCGUUUGGAGAGCUCGUACGCUGUUGUACAGCAAAUAUUGGCUUAGGAAUUAAGUGAGUCUAGUCAAUGCUCCAAGCACAUGGAAGAUUUUGAUAAAUAUACUAUUCUCCAACCCUUCCUACACCAAACGCUUAUGCUCUCUGGAACUAUGAGGAGACAUGCACAAGAGGAGACGUGUAUACGAUUCUUAACUCAUCUUUGUUUGUUUAUUUUAAUUUCAAACGGUUCCAUGAAUUACACAAAUCAAUUAAAAAACAGCACGACACACAUGAAGUGAACCUCCUCCUACAUUCAUAUUUUCCUCUCCUUUCUUCUCCUCUUCCUUAAUUGCAUCUCUUUCUCUCUCUCUCUCUCUCUCU